CCUCCGCUCUCCCCGCACAGGAGAGCGGAACGAGGUACCGCGCUCUCUGCCCUGACUGCGCCGGUGCCUCUCCCCCGGCCGGGGGCACCGCACACCGCCGGCCGAGCCGGCCGCCCGCGAGGGCGGCCCUACUCCGGGCUGCGGUGCUGGUCGGGCUGAGGGUCCCGGCCCGGCGC
RNAcentral lists this non-coding RNA (176 nucleotides) under Streptomyces sp. CB01249. RNAcentral describes it as "Streptomyces sRNA scr5239". It matches the Rfam family "Streptomyces sRNA scr5239". From Rfam's summary of the family: It inhibits agarase DagA expression by direct base pairing to the dagA coding region, and it represses translation of methionine synthase metE (SCO0985) at the 5' end of its open reading frame. Lineage: Bacteria; Bacillati; Actinomycetota; Actinomycetes; Kitasatosporales; Streptomycetaceae. The record is from Rfam by way of RNAcentral.